GGAAUAAAAGUCGUAACAAGGUUUCCGUAGGUGAACCUGCGGAAGGAUCAUUAUUGUAUAACCGAGGUGCGAGGGCUGUCGCUGACCCGAAAGGUCGUGCACGCCCGAGUGCCCUCACACACAUCCAUCUCACCCCUAUGUGCACCACCGCGUGGGUCCCCCUUUGGCUUGUUCGGAGGGGGGCUUACGUUUUCACACAAACUUUGUAUGCAGUGUAGAAUGUAUUUUUUGUUUUUGCGAUCACGCAAUCAAUACAACUUUCAACAACGGAUCUCUUGGUUCUG
This 284-nucleotide unclassified non-coding RNA is filed under the name plant metagenome. RNAcentral's name for it is "partial contains small subunit ribosomal RNA, internal transcribed spacer 1, and 5.8S ribosomal RNA". The stretch from base 1 to 53 matches the Rfam family "Eukaryotic small subunit ribosomal RNA", at positions 1779 to 1831 of the family's 1831-position model. The record is from RNAcentral.